RNAcentral lists this ribosomal RNA (382 nucleotides) under uncultured eukaryote. RNAcentral describes it as "partial 18S ribosomal RNA". It matches the Rfam family "Eukaryotic small subunit ribosomal RNA", at positions 592 to 976 of the family's 1831-position model. The record is from RNAcentral.
UGUAAGCGUAUACCAAAGUUGUUGCAGUUAAAACGCUCGUAGUCGGAAUUUGGCAGUUCCGGAUGUGUGCACGUCGUGUGCGCACUUCGCGGGGAUUGCUUUUGUGGUCUUGCGUAGGAUGAGGCACUUUUAUUAGUGAACGUCCUCACGCAACCACUUUUUACUGUGAGUAAAUCGGAGUGCUCAAAGCAGGCAUUUGCCGUGAAUGUAUUAGCAUGGAAUAAUAGAAUAGGACUUGGUUCUAUUUUGUUGGUUUGUUGGGACUGAGUAAUGAUUAAGAGGGACAGUUGGGGGCAUUUGUAUUUCGGUGCUAGAGGUGAAAUUCUUAGAUUACCGAAAGACAAACUGCUGCGAAAGCGUCUGCCAAGGAUGUUUUCAUUGA